This 105-nucleotide small nuclear RNA is filed under the name Carlito syrichta (Philippine tarsier). Lineage: Eukaryota; Metazoa; Chordata; Mammalia; Primates; Tarsiidae. The record is from RNAcentral.
GUGCUUGCUUUGACAGCACAGAUACUAAAAUUGGAAUGAUACAGAGAAGAUUAGCAUGGUUCCUUUGCAAGGAUGAUGUAAAUUUUUGAAGCAGUCUAUAUUUUA